UCAUUUUUCCUCAAGAAAAUUAAUUUUAAAUGAAAGGAAAAGAAAAAUAAUUACAUUUCAUUGAAAAGAUGAAUCCAUGGCGCCAGGCCUGGAGAUGUUAAUGGCCGUUUGACGCUGCUGCUCGAAUUCAGCUCAUCAAUGGAGGACCAACACGAAGAGGCCGCUUAUUCCUCAGGUUAUGAAAUGAACUGGAACUGCAAAGUUUCGUGGUGUUUCCGACUGUUAA
This is a long non-coding RNA of Cucumis melo (muskmelon), 226 nucleotides long. RefSeq lists it as uncharacterized. The transcript has 2 exons. Lineage: Eukaryota; Viridiplantae; Streptophyta; Magnoliopsida; Cucurbitales; Cucurbitaceae. The record is from RefSeq and is a predicted model, not a curated record.